Molecule: transfer RNA, 72 nt
Filed under: Ictidomys tridecemlineatus (thirteen-lined ground squirrel)
Lineage: Eukaryota; Metazoa; Chordata; Mammalia; Rodentia; Sciuridae
Description: Spermophilus tridecemlineatus (thirteen-lined ground squirrel) tRNA
Rfam family: tRNA
About the family: Transfer RNA (tRNA) molecules are approximately 80 nucleotides in length.
Source: Rfam by way of RNAcentral
UGGGGUGUAGCUUAGUGGUAGAGCAUGUGCCUAACAUGCAUGAAGCCCUGGGCUCCACCCCCGGCACCAAAA